This is a long non-coding RNA of Hordeum vulgare subsp. vulgare (domesticated barley), 495 nucleotides long. RefSeq lists it as uncharacterized. NCBI's taxonomy places the organism in Eukaryota, Viridiplantae, Streptophyta, Magnoliopsida, Poales, Poaceae. The transcript has 2 exons. The record is from RefSeq and is a predicted model, not a curated record.
CAUCCAAUAGCUUCAUUUGAUCGAGCACUUACUCAUGGAGUUCAACAACGCUCGACUGCUCGCUGCCUUCACCCUUGCCCUGCUCCUCAUGGCCUCUGGUACUGGAGAGAACCGUAAGGAGGAACUUUUGAAUGCUCAAGAGCAUAACAUUCUGAAUGUACCUACCAGAAGGUCUAAGAAGCAUAUGAAGAAUCAAACAACAAAUGGCAUGACCAGGCAGCAAGCUUGUGGACUAAUGAGGCUAGGGAGAGAGAUGGUAAUGCUCAUAAAGUUAUUGCUUGUUGUUGUGGUUCUGAUGGGUGUUGUUGUCGUCUUCAUGUUGAAGAAGUGAUGCUAUGUUGGAAGAGAUGGUGUCAGUCAGUUGGUUCAUUUUGGUAUGAUGAUGCAUGCCAUGUUGCAAUGUUGUUAGUUAGUAAGUGCAAUCAGCCUUAAUUUUCCCCAUGUCAUGUGGUAUAUUUUUAUUUAAUGUGAUGUGUUGGUGUGUUGAAGUAUUAA